This 253-nucleotide ribosomal RNA is filed under the name uncultured bacterium. Its description in RNAcentral is "partial 16S ribosomal RNA". It matches the Rfam family "Bacterial small subunit ribosomal RNA", at positions 524 to 776 of the family's 1533-position model. The record is from RNAcentral.
UACGGAGGGUGCGAGCGUUGUCCGGAAUCACUGGGCGUAAAGGGCGCGUAGGUGGCUUUUCAAGCGCGCGGUGAAAGCCCGGGGCUCAACCCCGGGUCGGCCGUGCGGACUGGGAGGCUCGAGCACUGUAGGGGCGGGUGGAAUUCCGGGUGUAGCGGUGGAAUGCGUAGAGAUCGAGAGGAACACCAGUGGCGAAGGCGAGUUCCUGGACAAGUCCUGACACUGAGGCACGAAAGCCGGGGGAGCAAACAGG